RNAcentral lists this unclassified non-coding RNA (799 nucleotides) under Gigantopelta aegis. RNAcentral describes it as "uncharacterized LOC121369235, transcript variant X1". The record is from RNAcentral. Lineage: Eukaryota; Metazoa; Mollusca; Gastropoda; Neomphalida; Peltospiridae.
CUAUUUAGUCCUUAUUUAGUCCUGGAAAAAGGAAACGAGGAAGACCGAAAGAAACAUGGAGGAGGACAGUAGAGAAGGAAAUUCGAGAGGGCAGUCUGAGCUGGGGGCUGCUGGAGAAGUUGGCAAAAGACAGGACAACAGUGGCGAUCUCUGGUUACAGCCUUAUGUGCUUCUUAGCACGAAGGGGAUUAAAGUAAGUCGACAACCUCUGCACUGACAGACAUGAUGACAUCCAUUCCCGAAGUACUUAAAGGCAUCGGCCAUUAUGUGAUGUGGAAGUAGAUAUAUUGUAUUUCCUACACUUGUUUGAAUAAAAAAAGAAAUUAUCCAGAUAAGAUUUUGUUAUAUAUUGAGAUAAUGUCAGUGGGGUUAUGUCAGAGUGGGGUUUUUUUUCAUCACCAAAGACACAACAAUUACAACAAAAAUACCACAAAGCUGGAAGGUGUAAUUAAACAAAUGAUGUCAAGAGAUGAACGAGGAAGAGGUAAAACCUAUGUUUAAAAGAAUGCAGGUCUUGUAGUCCCGACGUGUCCACUCCCAACAUCAGGAUCUAGUCAACAGGUGUCUUGUUAUACCACUUUAAAUAUUGUUUCACCAGUUUCCUACACAUCGACUGGCGAGAAGACCAUGAGCCGAAUUUACAAAGCCUGCACGUGCGCAACUACAUACAAUGGGCUCAAUGGGUAGGUGUAAGACCACUACACCCUCUUCUCUCUCACUAACCACUAACAAACUAACAACUAACCCAAUGUCCUGGACAGACAGCCCAGAUAACCGAGGUGUGCACAGGACAGCGUGC